GUAGGGAAUAUUGGGCAAUGGAUGCAAGUCUGACCCAGCCAUGCCGCGUGGAGGAAGAAGGUCCUCUGGAUUGUAAACUCCUUUUUUGGGGGAAGAAUAGUUCUCUUGCGAGGGAAUGUGACGGUACCCUAAGAAUAAGCCACGGCUAACUACGUGCCAGCAGCCGCGGUAAUACGUAGGUGGCAAGCGUUGUCCGGAUUUAUUGGGUUUAAAGGGUGCGUAGGUGGUUUGAUAAGUCAGUGGUGAAAGCUGGUUGCUCAACAAUCAAGUUGCCAUUGAUACUGUCGGACUUGAGAGAAGUGGAGGUUCAUGGAAUGGAUGGUGUAGCGGUGAAAUGCAUAGAUAUCAUCCAGAACGUCGAUUGCGAAGGCAGUGGGCUGUACUUUAUCUGACACUGAGGCACGAAAGUGUGGGGAUCAAACAGGAUUAGAAACCCGAGUAGUCC
Molecule: ribosomal RNA, 445 nt
Filed under: uncultured bacterium
Lineage: Bacteria
Description: bacterial SSU rRNA
Rfam family: Bacterial small subunit ribosomal RNA
Source: RNAcentral